This is a long non-coding RNA of Passer domesticus (house sparrow), 1980 nucleotides long. RefSeq lists it as uncharacterized. The transcript is spliced from 3 exons. Lineage: Eukaryota; Metazoa; Chordata; Aves; Passeriformes; Passeridae. The record is from RefSeq and is a predicted model, not a curated record.
CAGCUGCCAUGUGGGUGGGGAUUCAGGUUUUUAGCUGUGACCCCACCCUGGCCUACCAUAAAGGAGAUGAAAUAAGUUCCAGGAGGGUUUUGCUGCUGGAGGUGGGGUUUGGUGUUCCCUCAUGAGUGUGGACAUCUGUGGGGUUGCAGCAGGAGCUUGUUGGGGCUGGGCUGCUCCCAGAGGUCUCCAAAAGGAGGAGUAUGAGCAGUUCAGAGCAGACCUGCCUGCAAGGCCUGGUUCCCUCCAUGGAGAGAUGCAUCAAACCUCAACCGCUUCACCUCAUUGCUCUGGAUGAUCUUACCAGUUAAAAUAUGUCCAGCCCGACAUAAGGAAGCGGUCUUCUGGUACGUUCCAUCUGUGUGAUGUACUUUGUCUAAAAAAGGUUUCGGAAGCUCGGUAAACAGAGCCUGAGCCUGCACGAAGGGGAUUAAGGAGGAGAGGCAAGAGUGGAAGGGAAAAUGAGGAUAUGACAGAGGCCAUAGUGAGUUCAAACAAAAUUUGGCCUGCAGAAGGCAGAAGAAAUCCCACUGGUGACAGGUGCCAUCUUGUGGGUCAUUCUGCCACUCUGCCUCCUGCCACUUUUUAUAACGAGAAGAGAUAAAGGAGGACUGGGUUCUUAGAGGCUUCGAAUUGGAAAAGUAAUUCAAAGGGAUGUGAGCAUGGUUGGCUUCGGGGUUUGCAUGAUACUGUAAACAUCAAUACUUUGCUUGUCAGCACUCUAUGCUAUUUAAGAAUGUUAAAGUCCUCUAUGAAUAGAGACUAUGUGCGUGUCUAGAAACAUGUAAUCAUAAAUAGUACGAAUGAUAAUCAAAUUAUUUUUACUUUAUAGUAAUGCAAAUAAAAUAUUCAUGCAUCAUGUAGGCCUAGGAAAGGUUACAGCCUGCAAACUGUGCUAAUUAAAAUAUAAUAGCACCAAGGAGUAUAUGUAAGAGUUACUAAUGUCCAUAUUUUCCCUCUUUCCUUUAAGAUCUUAUCUUUAAUGAAUACAUAAAAAUGCAAUGGUUAGCUGGUACUUUAGUUCUGUGGCUUUUUUUCAGGAAAUUUAUUUUGAAAGGAUGUGCAGAAAUAAUCUCAGCAUCUUCUAAGCCAAAAUCAAAUAUACUAUGAUAAAGUAUAUAUGAUUUUUUUUUUUAAAGGAAAAACUAGUAUUUCAGGCAUGAUCCUGAAUUCAGUCAAAAAACUACAGAAUGAUUAAUUCUUAAAGCUUUCCCAGUUUAAAAGAAAAAGAAAUAGAACAGUAUUCAUGUCAAACAUGAUGGCAUAUCUCAGUAUUAUUUUUAAACCAAAUUUGAGGGUCAGAUUUUUAAGUAAGAGAAGAAGUUUGCAUUCUAAAUUGCUAAUUUUAAGUAUUGUUUGACAAACAACCCCAACUUGGAAUUAGCCUUAAUUUCCUUUUCCCAUGUUUGUACUCCUGUCUAAAAUAACAUUGCUGUUUUGUGGAUGUUUAUGAAACAAAAUCACAUUGGGGUGAAUGAAUAGCAAUGAAAGGAAGCUUUAAGCUGAUAUGUACAAAAAUUCUAAAUAUGCCUUAUUGCAAGCAUUAAUGCAGUAUUUGUGCCAUAAGUAAGGAAUAUAACAUUGUCUGGGUAAGGAACAGCAGCAGUGCCAUCCGAGAGCGCCCAUCACGGCUCUAGGUGAGCUCUGUUAAGAAUUCAUAAGGAGAAAGCAAAUCCAUGAAAAUGCCAAGUAAAUUUGACUGAUUAAUGCAUUUGAAAGGAAUUCUUAUUCCUUGGCGAGCAUUCCGUUGUUAUGAGGAAUAUGAAGACCAUCGAGUGCAUUAUUCUGUCCCCACGAUUCGCUUAUCCCCGGUUGUGAAUCAGUGCAUGAGACUUGACUGUCAAUGGCUGGAGUCAAUGGCUGUAUUGUGCAUGGGCAGAAUUCCCGGCCAUGCAAACCGAGCUCAGCCUUCAUAUUCUUUAAUCACCUAAACUUGGGAAGUUGCAUAAAUGUGAAACGCUGUGAAACUCUUCUUUGCACGUA